GAAAUCACCGGCAUAGCCGGGAUAAAAUUCUAUCCACCUUGUGUGCAAACAAUGGAAAAAGAGAAAAUUGGAACAUUCUUCCAACUUCUCUAAAAUUUUAAUAAACUCCAUCAAAUUUUGAAUAAAACAAUUUUUUUAAUAAAAAAUAUUAUA
RNAcentral lists this unclassified non-coding RNA (153 nucleotides) under uncultured fungus. RNAcentral describes it as "sequence contains ITS1, 5.8S rRNA gene". Lineage: Eukaryota; Fungi. The record is from RNAcentral.